Long non-coding RNA from Bubalus bubalis (water buffalo), 2094 nucleotides. RefSeq lists it as uncharacterized. The transcript has 5 exons. The record is from RefSeq and is a predicted model, not a curated record. NCBI's taxonomy places the organism in Eukaryota, Metazoa, Chordata, Mammalia, Artiodactyla, Bovidae.
AAUUCUUCGGCGGUUAGCUUCCUUUAUAGUCCAACUGUUACAUCCAUACGUGACUACUGGGAAAACCAUAGCUUUGACUAGACGGACUUUUGUUGGCAAAGUAAUGUCUCUGCUUUUUAAUAUGUGGCCCUUAGUGUCACCCAUAACAGGCACCCAAUCGAAAGAGACUGAACCCUUCACAGUAUCAGGGAAAGCGUCAUGGCAUCCGGUCCCUGAGAGCGGCAGAAACUGCCCAGCCCGACAAGUAGUAGGUGAACUCCCUUGACUCGGGAUUUCCGCACCACCUCCUCCCCCGCCUCUAGGAUUUUUUUUUUUCUGCCCUCCCGCGCCGAUGCACUGUUUCUUCUGUGAUCCGAACCAUAAAAAUUUCCAUACACAAGUGGGGCCUUAGAAACCCAGUGUCUCGGAUUUCGCCCGGCCGGAGGUGCUGAGUCGCCGAUUUGCCCAGGUCCCCAGGGGCAAGAUGGGGCGGAAUGGGGGGUUCCAAGCUGUCCCGCCCCUCUGUCGGGCUCUUUCACCCAAGCUGAGGGCUGGAGCCUCCACCAGGUAGAAUUCUCAGCAGGCAGCCCAGGGCUGGCCCCUCCCGGGGACCGGGAAAGGGGCGGGACUCGAUGAGUGGGCGGGGCUUGAACUGCUUGUGGGCGGGGCAAGGCGGAGUUGAAGACCCGGCCUGCGCAGAGAGCUCGGCUAACUGGGUAAAGCGCUGGAGGGACAGGGACGCGGCUCUGAGUGGGGUGGCGACCCGGGGCAGAGUCUGCCAGCGUGUGGGGGUGAGGCCGGGGGCCCCUCUACGGCGUCCCGCCCCUCCGGUCCAGCGUUCGGUCCACAGCCCCCACCUUCUGCCCCGUGCCGGCCUUUCUGUGCGACAGUCGCCGUGUCCCAUCUUCGCGGGGCCCUUGUGGCGCCCGUGUCUACAGUGUCGGGACCUGGGCACGCCGGUGGAGGCGGGCGCGCAAGGCGAGGACGACGGCUUCAGGGAAGCCGGUGACUCGAUGCGGGGGGUUGGGUGCUGCUGAAGCGACUUUUGCUUUUUCGGGGAUGCCGUCCUGGGAAGGGGAAUCGAGGCUGGGAAAGAACCCCAGAGCCCUCCCAUCCCCCGCCCCAGGGUGGGUCUGGGGCUGCCUCCGCCCUUUUGGAGUUUCCGGGGCGAGCACCUGCGAGUAGGUCCCUGGAAACCGCAGCAUGGGAGAACCGGCCCCGUUUUACCGCUGGGGAUACUGAGGCCGCUACAGGGUCACUCGCCCUUUGGGAUUGGGAUUUGCUUCAGCCACUUUUUUCAGCCCCGGUGGAGACGGAGGCUCCUGAGGGGACGGGGCUGGGCGUGGACCCUCUUUGCUCGGCCAGAGCGUCUAUCUGGGUGGGCGUCAGCAUUCCUAGCCACCUUUGCUGGUAGUGGUCUGGAGCCCUGGCAAAUGUGACUUGCUUACAAAACAUCCUGUUGCCUGCACAGCACUGCAGGGGAAAGGAAGGAGGGAGGGUCAGGAGAGAGAACUAUCAGCUCCCUUCUCACCUUCUGGAGUCUCCGUUCCCCCAUCUGUAAAAUAAGGAUAAUGGUGCGGGCUGUGCGGGUUGACUCCUUCCCAUGAGGACGGCGUGGGAAGGAGCAUGAAGGGCAGCUGCAGAAAAGAAGCCCGACACUCACCCCCAGCCAGGUGACCAAGUUCCCAGACUGUGAAUUGACCCUGUGCCCCUGCAGUGGAAACACAGAGUCCUGACCAGUGGACCACCAGGGAAGUCCCGUAACUGUUUUUAAGAGGCUUCUGGCAACCCUACAUCAAGCGAGCCUGUAGGCGUUUUUCCAACAGCAUUUGCUUACGUCAUGUCUCCGUCAGGUUUUGCAAUAAAAUGUUUUGUUAAAAAAAAAACAGAGGGAGAUUAUGCACAAAGGAGAAGGCGAUGAGAAGACAAGCAGAUACUGGAGUAGUGAGGCCACCCAUGCAUGAGUGCUGGAGAGGCAAGGACCAGUCCCCUGGAGACUCCCGAGGGCGUGUGGCUGCCCACACCUUAGAGUCAGCACAGUGAACCUCUGAUUUGGGGCUUCUGGCCUUCGGAAUGUGUUGUUUUAAGCCAAUAAAUGAUUGUUUGUUGUAGUAA